Molecule: long non-coding RNA, 270 nt
Filed under: Mytilus galloprovincialis (Mediterranean mussel)
Lineage: Eukaryota; Metazoa; Mollusca; Bivalvia; Mytilida; Mytilidae
Source: RNAcentral
UUUGAUAACUAUUUACACCACUGGGUCGAUGCCACUGCUGGUGGACGUUUCGUCCCCGAGGGUAUCACCAGCCCAGUAGUCAACACUUCGGUGUUGACAUGAAUAUCAAUAAUGUGGUCAUUUUAAUAAAUUUCCUGUUACAAAACUUUGAAUUUUACGAAAAACUAAGGAUUUUCUUAUCCCAGGCAUAGAUUACCUUAGCCGUAUUUGGCACAACUUUUUGGAAUUUUGGAUCCUCAAUGCUCUUUCAACUUUGUACUUGUUUGGCUU